UGUGCUGGCGACCAUAGCAAGAGUGAACCACCUGAUCCCUUCCCGAACUCAGAAGUGAAACCUCUUAGCGCUGAUGGUAGUGUGGGAUUACCCAUGUGAGAGUAAGUCAUCGCCAGCUCA
Molecule: ribosomal RNA, 120 nt
Filed under: Acinetobacter baumannii
Lineage: Bacteria; Pseudomonadati; Pseudomonadota; Gammaproteobacteria; Moraxellales; Moraxellaceae
Also listed under: 1 other name
Source: RNAcentral